Long non-coding RNA from Mytilus californianus (California mussel), 1667 nucleotides. RefSeq lists it as uncharacterized. The record is from RefSeq and is a predicted model, not a curated record. The transcript has 7 exons. Lineage: Eukaryota; Metazoa; Mollusca; Bivalvia; Mytilida; Mytilidae.
UUUUGGGGGGGGGGGUGAUUUCUGUCUCCUCUGACACAGAAACAUUUAGAGGUAGAUCCAGAAUUUCUGCAAACUACGUGAGGCACACUAUUUACGUUGUCGUUUCAAAGUUUAAGCCUGACCAAAUUCUACCUGAAGCAGAUAAGGGGUGGAUGGGCUUAUCUUUAAAACUAUUUUGAUCAAUAAAUUUAUGUAUUAAGCAUAAACGAUCAUAAACACUUAGCAGUUCACUCGAUCCAUCAUAUUUGAAAGUGAAACGGUAAACGCAUUGAUUUUACGGAUCCAAUAAAAAGUAUAUAACAAGAUUGAGUUGUCUAUCUUUUUCCAUCAAUUUUCAAAUUAGCUGAAAACCAGUUCAACAGAAAACCAGCAAAUAUUGUAUAUGGUCAAGGACGAUUGAAGAUGUCAAGAAAAAGGACGCACACAAUGCAUGUUGUAAACAUAAAAUAGGACGAGCAGCACAACCUAUUACGGUACUUGCUAUAAUUCGUUUUGUUGCUCCGGUUAUACUGGAUCGUCUUGUUCACAAGCCAUAUGUAAUGGGAUUACUUCUUGUCCAAACGGAGGAACAUGUGCAUCUCCAAACGCUUGUGUAUGUGCCCCAGGAUUUGGAGGAUCUCAAUGCUCAGAUAUCAACGAAUGUCAGACAGGAACAGAUAACUGCCAGCAGAAUUGUACCAAUACGCAUGGAUCAUUUACAUGUUCUUGGGAAUCUUGAUACAUAAUGAACAGCGAUGGUGCAACAUGUACAGAUAACAACGAAUGUCAGAUAGGAACAGAUAACUGCCAGCAGCUUUGUACCAAUACGCAUGGAUCAUUCGCAUGCUCUUGUGAAUCUGGAUACACAAUGAACAGCGAUGGUGCAACAUGAACAGAUAAAGAUGAAUGUCUCGACAUUAAUGGAGGCUGUAGUGAGUAUUGUAGGAAUCUAAAUGGAUCAUAUGAAUGUUACUGCAAAAAGGGAUUGCAUCUAGCAAGUGACAGCAAAACAUGCAUAGUUUCAGAAAAAAAAAUCGAUCCAUCGCUAUGAAUAUGAUGAACAUGGGAAUACUUUUAAAAUGCCAUAAGUAUUAUACUUACGCUUGCAAUAUGCAAUUGUUGAUAAACAAUGUAAUACACAUUAUAGAUCGCAUCUAGUCGAUCAGCAGCGUAAAUUUUCAACGUCUCGUGUGUUCUUUAUAUAGAUACAUACAUAUAACAGCAAACGAUAUCCAGUAUUACCGCGUAAUCUCAGCAGACUCGAUUUAUGGUUAAAGGUUAUGUUGGAAAUUCGAAUUCCAAGCAAUACAUUUAAUCUUAAUGUUCGAUAAAACAAUGUAUCAUGAAAUUAACUUACUGUCCUCGACGGAGGCAACAUUGGUGAUGUACACUGUCUUGAAAAACUGGACCUCGACGAAUGUUGAAACAUCUACAAACAAUGCAGGAAGGACAUGUCAUAGGAAUAUUUAUAAAUUACUCGCUUCUCUAAAAUAACUUAACGUAGGAAAAAUUGCUUUACAUUUUAAUUUCUUAUUUGCUUGACAACUAGAAUUGGUAGUCUACAGAGUACAGUUAUUUAUAUAAAGAAACCAGUUUUAGUUUUAUUUUGAGAGAAGAGAGGUGAAAGAUACCAGUGAGAUAUUUAAACUCAUAAGACAAAAAAAAAAAAAAAAACAAACCUGAAAAAC